Molecule: long non-coding RNA, 1275 nt
Filed under: Cervus hanglu yarkandensis (Yarkand deer)
Lineage: Eukaryota; Metazoa; Chordata; Mammalia; Artiodactyla; Cervidae
Description: lncRNA (ENSCHYG00000018505.1)
Source: RNAcentral
GCUUCAUACAUGAGAAAUAUUUCUUUUGAUCAGAGUAGUUUGCAAGUGCGUGGGUCAAAUUUAAGCAUCGAGUUUUUAACGAGUGGCUCCUGUGUGUGAAGUGCUACAUGAGCUAGCUCUGGGGUAGACAGGCAGAACAGGGCACCAAACAUUAAAAUGGGCACGGGAAAGAUGUUUAAUGAUGGUUCAAGGUGGACACUAGGAGGAGCAUGAGAAAGCAGCACACGCAGGUUGCCCUCACUUAGUGUCUGCUGAGCACAGCCUUCAAGUCGUGGGAGACGGGUGUCCUGAGGCCUGAUGGCCUGUGUGCAGCCCCCAGCAUGUUCAGGAGCUCAGAUGAAGAAGGGAAAAGAGAUUUGAUUUCUGUGCCUAUUAACCACGCCAAUAGAAGGUUGUGUGAAAAAUGAAGCUAUUGGUAGAAGUUAGGAAAAAAAUCUAGUUAUAAGACCAGCAGAAGACCUGAACUUCAGAGAAGACCACAAAUGAAUUGAAUUAAAAGCACAGUUCUCUUUUCAAAAGCUAACACGAAAUGAGGAUGGGUUUUGUACAAAAGCAGCUGCUCCUGCCAGUGGGCUUAUGCAUGUCCUUCUUUCAUAUGCCACAGUCAGACCUAGGAAAUUCCCUGGGAAGUCCCCUCUACCACAGUGCUUGCAGUUUCUCCAUUUGACUAUGAUUCUGUUGGAUCUUGGGAGAUUGAUCUUCAGGAAGCUGUUAUCACAAAACAGCUCUUCCUGGAGUGAGGAGAGAGCAUGGUACCUGGGAAGACAAAGGGAGUGGACUGGGACGCGGAAAUCUGGUUCCCAUUUUAGUUCUACAACUAGUAGCCUGGUGGCUUUAGGAGAAGCCUGCCAUUUCCCUGGCCUCAAUGGUUUCGUCUGUAAAUUGGAACGGCCUGGAGAUGAUAAAAGUGAAAGCAUCUAUCACCAUGCCUGGAAGUGUUCAAGAAAUGAUUCUUUCCUGCCUGCUGACUUCCAUUUUCCAUCUGUAAGAUCCAGAAAUUCAGAUUCCCUGGGGAUGGAACCUCUUUAGCUUCAGGGUUUUAUAAUAAUAAAAUUUAUUUAUUUUAAUGGCAACCCACUCCAGUAUUCUUGCCUGGAAAAUUCUAUGGACUGAGGAGCCUGGUUUGUUACAGUACAUGGGGUCACAAAGAGCUGAACAUGUCUGAACAACUAACACUUUCACACUUUAUUUAUUUAUUUUUAAUUGAAGGAUAAUUGCUUUACAAUAUUGUUUUGAUUUCAGGUUUUGAAAGGAUUUGAGUUGUUAGCUCCCCCA